UUGAAUUGAAGAGUUUGAUCAUGGCUCAGAUUGAACGCUGGCGGCAGGCUUAACACAUGCAAGUCGAACGGUAACAUAAAGAAGCUUGCUUCUUUGAUGACGAGUGGCGGACGGGUGAGUAAUGCUUGGGAAUCUAGCUUAUGGAGGGGGAUAACUACGGGAAACUGUAGCUAAUACCGCGUAAUAU
Molecule: ribosomal RNA, 187 nt
Filed under: Parahaemophilus parainfluenzae
Lineage: Bacteria; Pseudomonadati; Pseudomonadota; Gammaproteobacteria; Pasteurellales; Pasteurellaceae
Description: Haemophilus parainfluenzae (human oral metagenome) partial 16S ribosomal RNA
Rfam family: Bacterial small subunit ribosomal RNA
Source: RNAcentral